RNAcentral lists this ribosomal RNA (164 nucleotides) under uncultured bacterium. Its description in RNAcentral is "partial 16S rRNA". It matches the Rfam family "Bacterial small subunit ribosomal RNA", at positions 355 to 511 of the family's 1533-position model. The record is from RNAcentral.
UAGGGAAUCUUCCACAAUGGGCGCAAGUCUGAUGGAGCAACGCCGCGUGAGUGAAGAAGGGUUUCGGCUCGUAAAGCUCUGUUGUUAAAGAAGAACGUGGGUAAGAGUAACUGUUUACCCAGUGACGGUAUUUAACCAGAAAGCCACGGCUAACUACGUGCCAA